Molecule: non-coding RNA, 28 nt
Filed under: Homo sapiens (human)
Lineage: Eukaryota; Metazoa; Chordata; Mammalia; Primates; Hominidae
Source: RNAcentral
UCGAGCAGCUAUGAUUUGGAUUGUGGGA